Molecule: ribosomal RNA, 848 nt
Filed under: Escherichia coli
Lineage: Bacteria; Pseudomonadati; Pseudomonadota; Gammaproteobacteria; Enterobacterales; Enterobacteriaceae
Description: partial 23S ribosomal RNA
Rfam family: Bacterial large subunit ribosomal RNA
Source: RNAcentral
GGGACACGUGGUAUCCUGUCUGAAUAUGGGGGGACCAUCCUCCAAGGCUAAAUACUCCUGACUGACCGAUAGUGAACCAGUACCGUGAGGGAAAGGCGAAAAGAACCCCGGCGAGGGGAGUGAAAAAGAACCUGAAACCGUGUACGUACAAGCAGUGGGAGCCUCUUAAUGGGGUGACUGCGUACCUUUUGUAUAAUGGGUCAGCGACUUAUAUUCUGUAGCAAGGUUAACCGAAUAGGGGAGCCGAAGGGAAACCGAGUCUUAACUGGGCGUUAAGUUGCAGGGUAUAGACCCGAAACCCGGUGAUCUAGCCAUGGGCAGGUUGAAGGUUGGGUAACACUAACUGGAGGACCGAACCGACUAAUGUUGAAAAAUUAGCGGAUGACUUGUGGCUGGGGGUGAAAGGCCAAUCAAACCGGGAGAUAGCUGGUUCUCCCCGAAAGCUAUUUAGGUAGCGCCUCGUGAAUUCAUCUCCGGGGGUAGAGCACUGUUUCGGCAAGGGGGUCAUCCCGACUUACCAACCCGAUGCAAACUGCGAAUACCGGAGAAUGUUAUCACGGGAGACACACGGCGGGUGCUAACGUCCGUCGUGAAGAGGGAAACAACCCAGACCGCCAGCUAAGGUCCCAAAGUCAUGGUUAAGUGGGAAACGAUGUGGGAAGGCCCAGACAGCCAGGAUGUUGGCUUAGAAGCAGCCAUCAUUUAAAGAAAGCGUAAUAGCUCACUGGUCGAGUCGGCCUGCGCGGAAGAUGUAACGGGGCUAAACCAUGCACCGAAGCUGCGGCAGCGACGCUUAUGCGUUGUUGGGUAGGGGAGCGUUCUGUAAGCCUGUGAAGGUGUGCUGUGAG